ACCAGGUACAGUGGAGCAUGCCUAGAGUCCUAGCUACCCAGGAGGCUGAGGCAGGAGGAUCUCUUGGGCCCAGUAGUGUAGGGCCUGCCUGUGCAACAUAGUGAGACCCCAUCUCUU
This 117-nucleotide small RNA is filed under the name Marmota monax (woodchuck). The record is from RNAcentral. Lineage: Eukaryota; Metazoa; Chordata; Mammalia; Rodentia; Sciuridae.